CUCCAGCUCCUGAGCGGGCCUCGGAGAGGCCACAAAGGGGGGCUUAGAGCCCUAAGCUCAAGCUGGCCACAGGGAAUAGGGUGAGGGGAGGCAAAAACAAACCCGUUAGCCUGUGAGCAGGCACAUGCCACGUCUUAGUGACCCAUUCCUCCUUUCUCUCCCAGAGCGCUACCCACCUUCCCUUACUUGGCAAAAACUCAUCCUGCUUGCCCUACUCAUCCCAGAAUAGGAGCGGCUGACCAGUGUAGUAGCUGAUAACCCAAGGACCCUCCCAGAAGAUACAUUCCAUAACAGCCCCCUUCCUCUCAGAGUCUUCUGUGUCUCCUCAAAGACAUAGCCCCCAAAUGCCUUCUAUGCCCUGGCUGCCAGGCAAAGCCUGUGGCACCACCCUCUGUUACUGCCUCUCAGCUGAUGGUCCCCACCCCCACCUAGUACAGAGGUGGACUGUCACAGCCCCUGUUGGAGCCACUGGCUCUGGAUCCAGGCUGAAUCCCCGUCAGUAAUGUUCACCUCUUCUCUCCGUCUCAGGCAGGCAGCCUUCCCACCAGGCUAGCCUAGGUCCAGAUGCACAGAUUUACAAGGAAAUUCUCCACUGUUCUCCAAGGACAGAGGCAACCAUGAAAAUGUCUAAACCUAAAUCAAAAUGUAUGCUAAAAGUCAGCCUUACUUUUGGGUGGAUGGCCCCAAGUCUCUUGAGGACAUCAUAGCAAAAUUCUGAAGCGUUCAGUAGGUGUUUCUAUACCGACGCUCGUUUCCAAGAAGUGCCUGAGAAGGCAUCUCCCUGCAAACCACUGCCCAAGCAUUUCCUUCAUCUUAAUCUGAAGAAUAGCUAAGGAUUUUGUCUUAAGUUCCAUUCGUUUCUUACAUUGCUUAAAGUCUUUAUGGCCAAAAGGACAAGGCUAGAGCAUUUGGUGUGAAUUCCUAAUAAAAAACAACCCCAAA
Peromyscus maniculatus bairdii (prairie deer mouse) is the source of this 942-nucleotide non-coding RNA. NCBI's taxonomy places the organism in Eukaryota, Metazoa, Chordata, Mammalia, Rodentia, Cricetidae. The record is from RefSeq and is a predicted model, not a curated record.